Molecule: long non-coding RNA, 1103 nt
Organism: Ceratitis capitata (Mediterranean fruit fly)
Lineage: Eukaryota; Metazoa; Arthropoda; Insecta; Diptera; Tephritidae
Exons: 2
Source: RefSeq, a predicted model, not a curated record
AGGGCAACCCUGUAGUGAACAUUUUAAAAAUUUUUUUACUAAAAUUUAACCAACUAUCGUGAUCUGAUAAUACAGAGAAAUUUCAUGAUAACUCCCAAAAAAAUGCAACACUGGGGUUCAUCUCUCAACUGAGUUCAUUUUAUCUAUAUGUCAAGCAGAAGCAUUAUAAUAUUUUGCAAAGAUUACGAGAGGCCUUUUCUAUUUAACUCUUGAAGUGGAAACAUCACCAUUUUAUAAAACAGAUCGAAGACUAUUUUGUGUCUAAAAGUGAGUUACACCAUCAUCUUACCAGGACCACGUGGAACGCUCAACUUGGUUCGCCACGAUCAGCGAAUCUGAAUCCAUACUGUUGCAACAUUUCAUCGUGGAUUCGGAGAAAUUCAUCUAUUACGUGUGAAAAUGGUCAGACACCUCGUUAAAAUACUUGGUGAUCUCCAUUUAAUACAAUAAUACAACUUUCUGGACAACUACAGUUGCAAUAUUGUCCUCUUUGAAGAUUAAGGCAGAAGUAUGGCCUAAAUUAAUAAGAAAAAUAACUUUCGUCUUGAUUAAUUGGCUAUUUAUGCCAAAAAUUUAUGAGCGUGUAGUAAAUAUUUGACUAAUGGUAUUAAUUCAAAGAAAAUUAUAAUAUGUGAAUUAUCCUUUAAAACGUAAAAAGUAAACCUAAAUGAAGUUGUGUUGUAGAUGUGUAACGUACACGUAUUAUUUAAAUAUAAGUUUUUUUAUAAUUAAAGCUUGGUAAAGAGAUUAAGAAUAUUUCAAUAAUAAUAAUACUAAUUUAAUUAUGCUAUAAAAAAAGAAAACACACGUGUAUGGCAACUUAAUGCAUUCAGGGUAUGCAGUUUCUCAUACAUAUGUACAUAUUUCAUAACAUUGUAAUGAUCAUUUAAUUAGCUGCUUCAACAUUAUUGCUGAUCUUCGUGAAGGCCUUCGACGAUCAUCAUGCCAUAAGUGGAAAAUUAAUUACAUUCAUUGACUCUCCUGCUUGCUUAUUCGCAGCAGAGGAUGCUCACCGAUCGGCUGAUCUUUUAGUUUAGCUACACCGGCUCACCUCAUCUGUGAAGGAGCGGGUAGAGUAAAUAUGUAAGAGCACAACUGAUUUG